This 375-nucleotide ribosomal RNA is filed under the name Myrmeleon cf. noacki AS-2013. RNAcentral describes it as "SSU rRNA". It matches the Rfam family "Eukaryotic small subunit ribosomal RNA", at positions 1038 to 1395 of the family's 1831-position model. The record is from RNAcentral. Lineage: Eukaryota; Metazoa; Arthropoda; Insecta; Neuroptera; Myrmeleontidae.
GAUGCCAGCUAGCGAUCCGCCAAAGUUCCUCCGAUGACUUGGUGGGCAGCUUCCGGGAAACCAAAGCAUUUGGGUUCCGGGGGAAGUAUGGUUGCAAAGCUGAAACUUAAAGGAAUUGACGGAAGGGCACCACCAGGAGUGGAGCCUGCGGCUUAAUUUGACUCAACACGGGAAACCUCACCAGGCCCGGACACCGGAAGGAUUGACAGAUUGAGAGCUCUUUCUUGAUUCGGUGGGUGGUGGUGCAUGGCCGUUCUUAGUUGGUGGAGCGAUUUGUCUGGUUAAUUCCGAUAACGAACGAGACUCUAGCCUACUAAAUAGACGUACUUUAUUACCGGCAUCUCAAGGCCCAUCGGCUGUAUUGUUACUGAAUGU